GACGAACGCUGGCGGCGUGCUUAACACAUGCAAGUCGAGCGGUAAGGCCCUUUCGGGGGUACACGAGCGGCGAACGGGUGAGUAACACGUGGGUGACCUGCCCUCAGCUCUGGGAUAAGCCUGGGAAACCGGGUCUAAUACUGGAUGUGACUCCAUGACGCAUGUUGUGGGGUGAAAGCCUUGUGCGGGCUGAGGAUGGGCCCGCGGCCUAUCAGCUUGUUGGUGGGGUGAUGGCCUACCAAGGCGACGACGGGUAGCCGGCCUGAGAGGGCGACCGGCCACACUGGGA
Molecule: ribosomal RNA, 289 nt
Filed under: uncultured bacterium
Lineage: Bacteria
Description: partial 16S ribosomal RNA
Rfam family: Bacterial small subunit ribosomal RNA
Source: RNAcentral